UUACUAUUUUGAAUUUAAAGUUCAUACUCCCAAGAGGGAAUUUUCAGAUCUCCGCUGCUCACGCUUUGCACGAAGUUCAUUCCGUGCUUGAUCACUGCUGUCUUCACUCGUCCUCGGAUCUCGUCUUCUUCGUUCUUCACCCAUCCGCGAUAUCCUCAAGAGUAACGACAACUACAUUUAUACAUCCAUAAAUAUCUGCUUUAUCAUCACUGAAAGUCAUACAUCUUCUUUGUCAUUGCAUGAACAAUAUCUGCUUAGAUAGAUCUACUUUGUUAAACAUUAAUACAUAAAUAUUUACCUGUAUUAGCAUAACUUGGAUUCACAUCAUCAAGUUAAUAUUUAAGUAUUAAUAGAUCAUUUGUUUUCAACGUAUACAAUAUCUGCUUAGAGGCGGUAUAUAUUCUCCGGAUUUUCCGAUCCGAACUAGAAAAAUCUCCAUCCUCGACCGAAAUCCCUGUCCCGGAUAAUCCCCAUACGGCCAUACCUAGGGGUGAGAACGAGGCGGGUCCCGGACGGGGCGGUCCCCUAGUGCGAAACUGGGCAGGUCAGGUAUUCUACCUUCUUGCCUCGAUACCCACCUCGUGACCGGGGCGCGGAACGGGGCGGAUCCAGGACGACCCGAC
This 623-nucleotide long non-coding RNA is filed under the name Zostera marina. Its description in RNAcentral is "long non-coding RNA (ZMAR_LNC000361)". The record is from RNAcentral. Lineage: Eukaryota; Viridiplantae; Streptophyta; Magnoliopsida; Alismatales; Zosteraceae.